This 236-nucleotide ribosomal RNA is filed under the name uncultured bacterium. RNAcentral describes it as "partial 16S ribosomal RNA". It matches the Rfam family "Bacterial small subunit ribosomal RNA", at positions 84 to 334 of the family's 1533-position model. The record is from RNAcentral.
CCAUGAGUAAAGUGGCGACCGGGUGAGUAACACGUGACUAACCUACCUUCGAGUGGGGGAUAACCUCGGGAAACCGAGGCUAAUACCGCAUAACAUCGCAAGAUCAAAGCAGCAAUGCGCUGGAAGAGGGGGUCGCGGCUGAUUAGCCAGUUGGCGGGGUAACGGCCCACCAAAGCGAAGAUCGGUAGCCGGCCUGAGAGGGCGCACGGCCACACUGGAACUGAAACACGGUCCAG